GGUAUGUAAAGCUCUAUCAGCAGGGGAGAUAAUGACGGUACCUGACUAAGAAGCACCGGCUAAAUACGUGCCAGCAGCCGCGGUAAUACGUAUGGUGCAAGCGUUAUCCGGAUUUACUGGGUGUAAAGGGAGCGCAGGCGGUGCGGCAAGUCUGAUGUGAAAGCCCGGGGCUCAACCCCGGUACUGCAUUGGAAACUGUCGUACUAGAGUGUCGGAGGGGUAAGCGGAAUUCCUAGUGUAGCGGUGAAAUGCGUAGAUAUUAGGAGGAACACCAGUGGCGAAGGCGGCUUACUGGACGAUAACUGACGCUGAGGCUCGAAAGCGUGGGGAGCAAACAGGAUUAGAUACCCUGGUAGUCCACGCCGUAAA
This 369-nucleotide ribosomal RNA is filed under the name uncultured bacterium. Its description in RNAcentral is "bacterial SSU rRNA". It matches the Rfam family "Bacterial small subunit ribosomal RNA", at positions 420 to 806 of the family's 1533-position model. The record is from RNAcentral.